GACGAACGCUGGCGGCGUGCUUAACACAUGCAAGUCGAACGGAAAGGCCCUGCUUUUGUGGGGUGCUCGAGUGGCGAACGGGUGAGUAACACGUGAGUAACCUGCCCUUGACUUUGGGAUAACUUCAGGAAACUGGGGCUAAUACCGGAUAGGAGCUCCUGCUGCAUGGUGGGGGUUGGAAAGUUUCGGCGGUUGGGGAUGGACUCGCGGCUUAUCAGCUUGUUGGGGGGGUUGUGGCUUACCAAGGCUUUGACGGGUAGCCGGCCUGAGAGUGUGACCGGCCACAUGGGGACUGAGAUACGGCCCAGACGCCUACGGGAGGCAGCAGCGGGGAAUAGUGCACAAUGGGCGGAAGCCUGAUGCAGCAACGCCGCGUGCGGGAUGACGGCCUUCGGGUUGUAAACCGCUUUCGCCUGUGACGAAGCGUGAGUGACGGUAAUGGGUAAAGAAGCACCGGCUAACUACGU
RNAcentral lists this ribosomal RNA (467 nucleotides) under uncultured bacterium. RNAcentral's name for it is "partial 16S ribosomal RNA". It matches the Rfam family "Bacterial small subunit ribosomal RNA", at positions 28 to 506 of the family's 1533-position model. The record is from RNAcentral.